Molecule: transfer RNA, 72 nt
Filed under: Loxodonta africana (African savanna elephant)
Lineage: Eukaryota; Metazoa; Chordata; Mammalia; Proboscidea; Elephantidae
Rfam family: tRNA
About the family: Transfer RNA (tRNA) molecules are approximately 80 nucleotides in length. Their secondary structure includes four short double-helical elements and three loops (D, anti-codon, and T loops).
Source: Rfam by way of RNAcentral
GCCCUAGUAGCGUAACGGUUAAGUGCUCAGCUGCUAACUGAAAGAUUGGUGGUUCAAACCUACCCAGUGGCU